GACGAACGCUGGCGGCGUGCUUAACACAUGCAAGUCGAACGGAAAGGCCCUGCUUUUGUGGGGUGCUCGAGUGGCGAACGGGUGAGUAACACGUGAGUAACCUGCCCUUGACUUUGGGAUAACUUCAGGAAACUGGGGCUAAUACCGGAUAGGAGCUCCUGCUGCAUGGUGGGGGUUGGAAAGUUUCGGCGGUUGGGGAUGGACUCGCGGCUUAUCAGCUUGUUGGUGGGGUAGUGGCUUACCAAGGCUUUGACGGGUAGCCGGCCUGAGAGGGUGACCGGCCACAUUGGGACUGAGAUACGGCCCAGACUCCUACGGGAGGCAGCAGUGGGGAAUAUUGCACAAUGGGCGGAAGCCUGAUGCAGCAACGCCGCGUGCGGGAUGACGGCCUUCGGGUUGUAAACCGCUUUCGCCUGUGACGAAGCGUGAGUGACGGUAAUGGGUAAAGAAGCACCGGCUAACUACGUGCCAGCAGCCGCGGUGAUACGUAGGGUGCGAGCUUUGUCCGGAUUUAUUGGGCGUAAAGGGCUCGUAGGUGGUUGAUCGCGUCGGAAGUGUAAUCUUGGGGCUUAACCCUGAGCGUGCUUUCGAUACGGGUUGACUUGAGGAAGGUAGGGGAGAAUGGAAUUCCUGGUGGAGCGGUGGAAUGCGCAGAUAUCAGGAGGAACACCAGUGGCGAAGGCGGUUCUCUGGGCCUUUCCUGACGCUGAGGAGCGAAAGCGUGGGGAGCGAACAGGCUUAGAUACCCUGGUAGUCCACGCUGUAAACGGUGGGUACUAGGUGUGGGGUCCAUUCCACGGGUUCCGUGCCGUAGCUAACGCUUUAAGUACCCCGCCUGGGGAGUACGGCCGCAAGGCUAAAACUCAAAGGAAUUGACGGGGCCCCGCACAAGCGGCGGAGCAUGCGGAUUAAUUCGAUGCAACGCGUAGAACCUUACCUGGGUUUGACAUGGAUCGGGAGCGCUCAGAGAUGGGUGUGCCUCUUUUGGGGUCGGUUCACAGGUGGUGCAUGGCUGUCGUCAGCUCGUGUCGUGAGAUGUUGGGUUAAGUCCCGCAACGAGCGCAACCCUUGUUCACUGUUGCCAGCACGUUAUGGUGGGGACUCAGUGGAGACCGCCGGGGUCAACUCGGAGGAAGGUGGGGAUGACGUCAAGUCAUCAUGCCCCUUAUGUCCAGGGCUUCACGCAUGCUACAAUGGCUGGUACAGAGAGUGGCGAGCCUGUGAGGGUGAGCGAAUCUCGGAAAGCCGGUCUCAGUUCGGAUUGGGGUCUGCAACUCGACCUCAUGAAGUCGGAGUCGCUAGUAAUCGCAGAUCAGCAACGCUGCGGUGAAUACGUUCCCGGG
RNAcentral lists this ribosomal RNA (1343 nucleotides) under uncultured bacterium. Its description in RNAcentral is "16S ribosomal RNA". It matches the Rfam family "Bacterial small subunit ribosomal RNA", at positions 28 to 1378 of the family's 1533-position model. The record is from RNAcentral.